Larimichthys crocea (large yellow croaker) is the source of this 1424-nucleotide long non-coding RNA. RefSeq lists it as uncharacterized. The record is from RefSeq and is a predicted model, not a curated record. Lineage: Eukaryota; Metazoa; Chordata; Actinopteri; Sciaenidae. The transcript has 2 exons.
UGGAGGGAGGUCAAAAACCGUUGGUCCCGAUUUCACCAUGAAACACUGAGAAUAAAAAAGAUUUAAAUGUUUUUAUUGCUGAUAUUUUGUCUAUUAACGCUUAUAAACAAUAUUUAAACAAAAAAGAUUAACAAAUGUUCAAAACCUGCGCGCGACACUUCUGUGUGUGCGUGUGUGUGUGACACGAGCGUGACGUCACGAGGGCCUCGUUUUUUUUAAGGAGGAGGAGGAGGAGGGUGGUCACGUGACUUUUGGCGUGGUGGUGGUGGUGAUGAAGCGAGGCAUCGGAACAUCUCACCGCCGCCGCUGCGAUACUUUAUCUCCGGGAGGUCGGAGCCGCUGCUGCUGCUUCUUCUUCUUCCACCGCCGUUUAACAAGAACCGGACGGAACCAAACCCCCCGACGACGGCCUCGGUUAGCGGCGGGCCUUGUGAGAGGACGUGCCGGGGAGGGGAGGACCUGCGGCGGCGGCGGAUGUGACAACAGUCCCGGACUGAGAGAGGUCGAGAACCGCCAAUUCCAGCUAGCUGCUGUCAGCUAACGCUGGCUACGCUGACUCCCCCGGCUUGUGCUCCUCCACCUCCUCAAGGACAGGAAGCCUUCAGAAGUAGGCUACAUCAUUUUCACAGGCUUGGUCGCCUCUUUGCCUCCUGUCCUUGUCAGAUAUGUGUCACCAGUUUUUUUACUCGAAGAAGAAGAAGCGGGGGGAGUUGUGGGAUGAGGUAGUAGUUUGUAUAGUUUUAGGAUCACACCAGAUCUGGGAGAUAACUAUACAGCCUACUGUCUUUCUCACGGCAACCAAACCAUCACCUACCUCCACAUGACGGAGACGAGCCAGCCCAAUCCGUGUCUUGCGUUCAGUUGCCACGGUGACUGAAGCCUCUGUUGCCGUUGGUGACCAUCAGUGCUCCAAAAUUACAUCACGAACAUUGGAUUCAUUUUGCUGGUGUCUUGCCGUCCUGGUGUGUCCCUGGCUGUUAACUACAUAUAUAUUUAUACAAAUCACACACUCGAUUCUCUGAUUGCUGUGCUGACGUGUCUGUAGCUGUGCUGUGGUGAGGUAGUAAGUUGUGUUGUUGUGGGGUGUGGGAUAUUGCAACCCCUAUUUUGGAGAUACAACUAUACAACUUACUGCCUUCCACAAUGUGGCAGCAUAAUGCGCUACGCUUCAGCUCCGGUGUCUGCGGUGAUUUGAGAUUUUAAGUAGAGAGGGUGUGUGUUGCAUGAGUAGAUUGAUUAUUUCGUUAUCGCUUCCGUUGGAGUUUUUAAAUUGAGCGGUAAUUCAUGCAAUCGUUGUGUUAUUAUGAAAGUUUUGCUCUGUGGUGUUCACUGAUCCAUCUGCUGAUCUAAAAAACGGUGUAACAAUGUUUAUAAGCAGAGCGUGGUGACGUCAGAUCAACGAAAUAUUCAGUUUAAAGUGAUUU